RNAcentral lists this long non-coding RNA (251 nucleotides) under Fukomys damarensis (Damara mole-rat). Its description in RNAcentral is "lncRNA (ENSFDAG00000033531.1)". Lineage: Eukaryota; Metazoa; Chordata; Mammalia; Rodentia; Bathyergidae. The record is from RNAcentral.
CAUUCACAACAUCCAACCUGGUUUCUUGGUGUAAAGAAAUGAUCUGUGUCUUGGUGGAGCAUGGCCCAGUGUUUGAAGUGCACAUGGAACUGGGAAUAUGACUAGGGACAUUUCUGAAAGAUAUAAUCUGCCAGCCAGAAGCAGUGGGAGAGUCAAACCUGACAGGCGCUGUGAAAAGGCUGGAGUUUUCAGCAUGCUAGGAGAGUGGCAGUGUCAGAGGUAAGUCACUGUGAACUGUGUCAUUUAUUUCU